CCUCCGCCUCAUCGGCUAGCUCGGCCUCGAAUCAACCUGGAGGCCCCCUCCGGCCGCUGCAUCGCCCUUCCUCCGCACCCCUCUCCGACCACCAGCGACGGAGUGUGAUGGCAUCGACUCGCUAGGGUUCCCGUGGCGAUGGAGCAGGACAUCGACUCGGAGUCUCCCUGGCUGAAUUGAUUAGGUGGGUUAGCCAAUCCGGGUUCUACGU
This 211-nucleotide long non-coding RNA is filed under the name Setaria viridis. RNAcentral describes it as "long non-coding RNA (SVIR_LNC002326)". The record is from RNAcentral. Lineage: Eukaryota; Viridiplantae; Streptophyta; Magnoliopsida; Poales; Poaceae.